Cornus florida is the source of this 327-nucleotide long non-coding RNA. RefSeq lists it as uncharacterized. The record is from RefSeq and is a predicted model, not a curated record. The transcript has 2 exons. NCBI's taxonomy places the organism in Eukaryota, Viridiplantae, Streptophyta, Magnoliopsida, Cornales, Cornaceae.
AUAAGAAGAAGGAGAAACACAAGAAGAACAAAAAGAGCAAGGAAGGCAAAAGUAGCGAUGGCAGCAGCAGCAGUAGUGACGGCGAAUGCUGUCCGUGAGAAGGCAAAGACAUGUCUUAUGAACUUAUAAUUCUAAAAACAAGACUGAGGAGAAGCAUUGUGAAGGUUCAGCUACAUGGAAAUGAGAGGAAUAAAGCUGCCAACCAAGACUAUAAGUAAAAAUAAGCUAUAAUUAUCUAUGACAUAUGGCUAUUGUUUAGUAGAAAAUUGAUUGAUUCUACAAAUAUGUUGUAUACCAUAUAAGAAUAAAUGAUAAUCCUCUUUUGUA